AGAGUUUGAUCCUGGCUCAGGAUGAACGCUAGCUACAGGCUUAACACAUGCAAGUCGAGGGGCAGCAGGACGGUAGCUUGCUACUGUCGCUGGCGACCGGCGCACGGGUGAGUAACGCGUAUCCAACCUUCCCCUGAGUAGGGAAUAGCCCGGCGAAAGUCGGAUUAAUGCCCUAUGCUGUCCGACGAUAGCAUUUGAAUCGGACGAAAGAUUUAUCGCUCAGGGAUGGGGAUGCGUCUGAUUAGGUUGCAGGCGGGGUAACGGCCCACCUGGCCGACGAUCAGUAGGGGUUCUGAGAGGAAGGUCCCCCACAUUGGAACUGAGACACGGUCCAAACUCCUACGGGAGGCAGCAGUGAGGAAUAUUGGUCAAUGGGCGAGAGCCUGAACCAGCCAAGUAGCGUGCAGGAAGACGGCCCUAUGGGUUGUAAACUGCUUUUGGAGGGGAAUAAAGUGGCGUACGUGUACGCCUUUGUAUGUACCCUCAGAAUAAGGACCGGCUAAUUCCGUGCCAGCAGCCGCGGUAAUACGGAAGGUCCGGGCGUUAUCCGGAUUUAUUGGGUUUAAAGGGAGCGCAGGCCGCCGAUUAAGCGUGACGUGAAAUGUCCCGGCUCAACCGGGGAGUUGCGUCGCGAACUGGUUGGCUUGAGUGCGGACGAGGUAUGCGGAAUUCGUGGUGUAGCGGUGAAAUGCUUAGAUAUCACGAAGAACCCCGAUUGCGAAGGCAGCGUACCAGGCCGUAACUGACGCUAAUGCUCGAAGGUGCGGGUAUCGAACAGGAUUAGAUACCCUGGUAGUCCGCACGGUAAACGAUGGAUGCCCGCUGUUUG
This 829-nucleotide ribosomal RNA is filed under the name uncultured bacterium. RNAcentral's name for it is "bacterial SSU rRNA". It matches the Rfam family "Bacterial small subunit ribosomal RNA", at positions 8 to 826 of the family's 1533-position model. The record is from RNAcentral.